This 434-nucleotide ribosomal RNA is filed under the name uncultured Saccharofermentans sp. RNAcentral describes it as "partial 16S ribosomal RNA". It matches the Rfam family "Bacterial small subunit ribosomal RNA", at positions 341 to 792 of the family's 1533-position model. The record is from RNAcentral. Lineage: Bacteria; Bacillati; Bacillota; Clostridia; Eubacteriales; Oscillospiraceae.
ACGGAAGGCAGCAGUGGGGAAUAUUGCACAAUGGGCGAAAGCCUGAUGCAGCGACGCCGCGUGAGUGAAGAAGUAUCUCGGUAUGUAAAGCUCUAUCAGCAGGGAAGAAAAUGACGGUACCUGACUAAGAAGCCCCGGCUAACUACGUGCCAGCAGCCGCGGUAAUACGUAGGUGACAAGCGUUAUCCGGAUUUACUGGGCGUAAAGGGCGUGUAGGCGGUUUGGCAAGUCAGAAGUGAAAUUCCUGAGCUCAACUCGGGCGCUGCUUCUGAAACUGCUAGACUUGAGUGCUGGAGGGGAUAGCGGAAUUCCUAGUGGAGCGGUAAAAUGCGCAGAUAUUAGGAAGAACACCGGUGGCGAAGGCGGCUAUCUGGACAGUAACUGACGCUGAGGCGCGAAAGCGUGGGGAGCAAACAGGAUUAGAUACCCUGGUA